This is a long non-coding RNA of Puntigrus tetrazona (Sumatra barb), 970 nucleotides long. RefSeq lists it as uncharacterized. The transcript is spliced from 4 exons. The record is from RefSeq and is a predicted model, not a curated record. Lineage: Eukaryota; Metazoa; Chordata; Actinopteri; Cypriniformes; Cyprinidae.
GUUAACUUCGGGCCAGGCGCGUGUGCGCGCGCCAGAUGAAAUCCGCCGCGUCCGACAUCGCGUGCAACUUCAGUAGUCAGGUCCUCUGUGGUAUAUGAAAUGUUACGCUCUCUACCAGUGGAUGCUCUGCAGCGAAUGGGUGCCGUCAGAAUGAGAGUCCAAACAGCUGAUAAAAACAUUACAAUAAUCCUCAGCUCCUGGUGAAUCAUAUAUAAAUGAACAGCGUGGACAUCCUUCAAAACAUCCCAGAAGAAAGAAAGUCAAGUUUGGACUGACACGAGGCUCCAGAGUUAUGACUAUGAACCGAGAACCUGAUGGUGGUCUUCAAAUCAUGUACUUCCGAAGGUACCUGAUGCAUGUCUACUAAUGGAUAGAUAUCUCCAGUUAUGAUGGACCUGCUUACAUGCUACUCUUCAGAAUGUUUACUAUGGAACAAUAUCUACUACUGUUUUUAAAAAACAAAUACUGCGUAUCUAUUGCGCAGUACUUAGCAAGUGGAAUCUAGUAUUUCAUUCCCAACACUGGAGAAGAGCCAGUGUGUCCAGUGUUAUUCCGGUCAUAAGCAUCAGGUCCUCUCAAAUCAACCAACUGGCUCUAUGGCCGCUGAACCGGUGACUGAUGGCCAUCUGUGUUGUGUCAAAAGUACCAAAUUAACCCACACAGAUAGCAGUAAUUGCUCUAGUGUGUCGUCCCAAUGGGUUUAUGUGUGUGUGUGUGUGCUGUUUGGCAUCAGGAUUCAGGGUUUUUUGUUGUCGUUGUGAAUCCGUAUGGAGACAUUCUCCUUAUCUGUCUUUAAAACACAUGUACUUGUUUAUUUGGGUCUUUCAUUUCUGUGGCAUAAACAGGAAUAACCAGUAAGUUGAAGUAUAGUAGCCUAUCUUAAGUUUUUAUCUUUUUAAUUUCCCCCGUGGUCCAUUCACAAUGUUAGUCAUGGUUUCUUGAGCCAAACCGGUUUAAUUUUCAUGACUGU